This 108-nucleotide small RNA is filed under the name Azorhizobium caulinodans ORS 571. Its description in RNAcentral is "EcpR1". It matches the Rfam family "EcpR1". From Rfam's summary of the family: Perviously named SmelC291, SmrC10, or Sra33. According to its overproduction phenotype it was renamed Elongated Cell Phenotype RNA1. Lineage: Bacteria; Pseudomonadati; Pseudomonadota; Alphaproteobacteria; Hyphomicrobiales; Xanthobacteraceae. The record is from Rfam by way of RNAcentral.
UAGCCCUGCGGAGUGCCUAGGUCCGCCGCAUCUCCUGGGUCCGUGGGGUUCGGCCGGCGGGUGGACGAUCACGGGUGGCCUCCCCGUCCGUCCACCGCCGGCCACCUC